This 443-nucleotide ribosomal RNA is filed under the name uncultured bacterium. Its description in RNAcentral is "partial 16S ribosomal RNA". It matches the Rfam family "Bacterial small subunit ribosomal RNA", at positions 338 to 795 of the family's 1533-position model. The record is from RNAcentral.
CCUACGGGAGGCAGCAGUGGGGAAUAUUGGGCAAUGGGCGCAAGUCUGACCCAGCAACGCCGCGUGAAGGAAGAAGGCUUUCGGGUUGUAAACUUCUUUUCUGAGGGACGAAGAAAGUGACGGUACCUCAGGAAUAAGCCACGGCUAACUACGUGCCAGCGGCCGCGGUAAUACGUAGGUUGCAAGCGUUAUCCGGAUUUAUUGGGUGUAAAGGGCGUGUAGGCGGGAAAGCAAGUCAGAUGUGAAAACUCAGGGCUCAACCCUGGGCCUGCAUUUGAAACUGUUUUUCUUGAGUGCUGGAGAGGCAAGCGGAAUUCCGUGUGUAGCGGUGAAAUGCGUAGAUAUACGGAGGAACACCAGUGGCGAAGGCGGAUUGCUGGUCAGUAACUGACGCUGAGGCGCGAAAGCGUGGGGAGCAAACAGGAUUAGAUACCCCAGUAGUC